GGGUCAAUGAGUGGGUUUCCGGCACACCGGAAACUCCGGAUCCAAGAGGACCAACCGGUCGUCACGAAGACAAGGCUUGGGACUUGGGGUGGCGGCGGCGGCGGCGGGAGGAGAAGGCAGUCGGAGCGGCGCCUCGUCGCAGUAACCGCCGCCUCCGGCACAUUUGGGUAUUUCAAGACAAAACUCACGUGUAACUUGAAAUACCUGUAUAGACUCCUCGUUGUUGUUCUAAAACCACACGAUGAUUUCGUCCCCCGACUUCCUUCCCAUAAACAAAGCUGUAAACAACCUGCUUUUACGCAUUAGUUUCUCGCAAAAAGUUUCUUCAUAGCUGUGGGUCACGACCUGAGUUUCAACUGAGAUUUUGCGAAUUUACGACUUCGAUCUACGUACUGUUUUCGUUCUGCCGAACCACAAGGAUGUGGUCAAGACAUACGACACCUGGGAGAAGGUGUAUGUAAUUGGAAACUCAUACACCUACCGAACACGCAGUUUCUAUAAGAAGAACCUAAACCCAGUUUACCCUAUUUACUUCUUGCAGAAUUACUAUAACGGUGUGUCUAUCCCUUACGUCAACCGUUUGAUGUGCUACCUCCAGAACAAGUACCACUAAACUGUUGAAGUUUAUACUACUAGUUCUUGUCGUGGUUAGUUGACCAAGAAUAACUAAAACCAGACUCGAAAUGUAGUUGAUAAGGUCUCCUGUUCCGUCACCUGGAGAUACAGGAACUCUCUCGAAAUUAAAGGUACGUAAGAAGUACACCCCUACACUACCUCUUCUAGGAGCGACGCAUGGCUUUUCGUAGUUCCGUCACCACACGGUGAUGCUUGUUCGAUCGAGUUCAGUCCGUCGCCCCGUCUUUCGCUUGUUACCAACCCAUUUUGAACUGGGCGUCAACGACUUACGAUGCUUAACUUGAACGUAGUGGUAGGUAACACACACAAUAUCGCCAAGUCGCCUUAACCGAGAACGUCUUAACUUUACCUACAGUUCACUUAGUAAACAUUGUGACGAACAACAUGAAGGCAAUCCUUAGUAUAUAGAGGGUUGAGAAAAUUGAACACUCAAAACCUACUAGCAACACAUAGAAUCACUUGACUAUGUAAAUGAAACAACGCCACGUAGACC
Molecule: ribosomal RNA, 1129 nt
Filed under: Triticum aestivum (bread wheat)
Lineage: Eukaryota; Viridiplantae; Streptophyta; Magnoliopsida; Poales; Poaceae
Description: partial small subunit ribosomal RNA
Source: RNAcentral